GACGAACGCUGGCGGCGUGCUUAACACAUGCAAGUCGAACGGUGAAGCGCCUUCCUUUUUGGUGGGUGUGGAUGAGUGGCGAACGGGUGAGUAACACGUGGGUAACCUGCCCCCUUCUUCUGGAUAACCGCAUGAAAGUGUGGCUAAUACGGGAUAUUCUGGGUCUGUCGCAUGAUGGGUCUGGGAAAGAUAUUGUUUCGGUGGGGGAUGGGCUCGCGGCCUAUCAGCUUGUUGGUGGGGUGAUGGCCUACCAAGGCGGUGACGGGUAGCCGGCCUGAGAGGGUGGACGGUCACACUGGGACUGAGACACGGCCCAGACUCCUACGGGAGGCAGCAGUGGGGAAUAGUGCACAAUGGGCGCAAGCCUGAUGCAGCGACGCCGCGUGAGGGAUGGAGGCCUUCGGGUUGUGAACCUCUUUCGCCAGUGAAGCAGGCCUGCCUCGUUUGUGGGUGGGUUGACGGUAGCUGGAGAAGAAGCGCCGGCUAACUACGUG
Molecule: ribosomal RNA, 494 nt
Filed under: uncultured bacterium
Lineage: Bacteria
Description: partial 16S ribosomal RNA
Rfam family: Bacterial small subunit ribosomal RNA
Source: RNAcentral